RNAcentral lists this ribosomal RNA (386 nucleotides) under uncultured prokaryote. RNAcentral describes it as "bacterial SSU rRNA". It matches the Rfam family "Archaeal small subunit ribosomal RNA", at positions 339 to 725 of the family's 1478-position model. The record is from RNAcentral.
GCGCGAAAACUUUACAAUGCUGGCAACAGCGAUAAGGGAACCUCGAGUGCCAGGUUACAAAUCUGGCUGUCGAGAUGCCUAAAAAGCAUUUCAUAGCAAGGGCCGGGCAAGACCGGUGCCAGCCGCCGCGGUAACACCGGCGGCUCGAGUGGUAACCGUUAUUAUUGGGUCUAAAGGGUAUGUAGCCGGCCGGAUAAGUCUCUUGAGAAAUCUGGCAGCUUAACUGUCAGGCUUUCAAGAGAUACUGUCUGGCUCGAGGCCGGGAGAGGUGAGAGGUACUUCAGGGGUAGGGGUGAAAUCUUGUAAUCCUUGAAGGACCACCAGUGGCGAAGGCGUCUCACCAGAACGGACCUGACGGCAAGGGACGAAAGCUAGGGGCACGAACC